RNAcentral lists this ribosomal RNA (497 nucleotides) under uncultured bacterium. Its description in RNAcentral is "partial 16S ribosomal RNA". It matches the Rfam family "Bacterial small subunit ribosomal RNA", at positions 28 to 507 of the family's 1533-position model. The record is from RNAcentral.
GAUGAACGCUGGCGGCGUGCCUAAUACAUGCAAGUCGAGCGAACAGACGAGGAGCUUGCUCCUCUGACGUUAGCGGCGGACGGGUGAGUAACACGUGGAUAACCUACCUAUAAGACUGGGAUAACUUCGGGAAACCGGAGCUAAUACCGGAUAAUAUAUUGAACCGCAUGGUUCAAUAGUGAAAGACGGUUUUGCUGUCACGUAUAGAUGGAUCCGCGCCGCAUUAGCUAGUUGGUAAGGUAACGGCUUACCAAGGCAACGAUGCGUAUCCGACCUGAGAGGGUGAUAGGCCACACUGGAACUGAGACACGGUCCAGACUCCUACGGGAGGCAGCAGUAGGGAAUCUUCCGCAAUGGGCGAAAGCCUGACGGAGCAACGCCGCGUGAGUGAUGAAGGUCUUCGGAUCGUAAAACUCUGUUAUUAGGGAAGAACAAAUGUGUAAGUAACUAUGCACGUCUUGACGGUACCUAAUCAGAAAGCCACGGCUAACUACGUG